Falco peregrinus (peregrine falcon) is the source of this 1005-nucleotide long non-coding RNA. RefSeq lists it as uncharacterized. NCBI's taxonomy places the organism in Eukaryota, Metazoa, Chordata, Aves, Falconiformes, Falconidae. The record is from RefSeq and is a predicted model, not a curated record. The transcript is spliced from 3 exons.
ACCCCAUUUUCUCCUAGGCUUUUAGGAGUGGCCUGAGAGGUGCUUGCAGGGUAUUCCAUUUUGCCUUAGACAGCUUAGGAGACCAACCACAUGCCUGGAGAUCUGUAUCUAUCCUUAGGCUCCUAGUGGGAUUCACACAAAACCAGUAUGUGUGGGCACAUUCUCCUAGCAGCUCGGUGUCUUUUUGCUGUUGCAGAGGUGAUUUCCAGGCGGAGCUGACCAGUGGGGUUCUCUGGCUGAGGGGAAGACCAGCAGUCAGCUGGUGGAUGUGCUUCUGGAAGAAAUAGCAACGGGAGCUCUAAGAGAGGGAAAUGGCUUCCCUGCAUGGAAGGAGGAGGGGAGCGCUGAAGCUUUCGUGGCCAAGCCCCGGAGCCAGGAUGUCAGGGAGAAGCAGGAGUAUCUGAGCCAGCUGAAGAACAAGCUGGGAGAUCUACUAGAGGGGAAGGCAGAUGAUCUGAAGACUGCUUUCUGUGCGAUUGAUCCCGGUAUCGACGAUCAGACGCUAGAUACCUACAUUGACCUGCCGGAUCAAGAAGAUGUGCCUGUGGAAACUGCACUCGAGAGGCUGCUUGCUGGAUAUGCGAGACGAGUAGGGCCCUCGCCCAGGGAGGGAAGCACGACAGGCUUCGGAGGGGAGGAAGGAGACUUCCAAUAAUAAGAAUAAAUGGACUGUUUGAUCUACGGGUUUGGGUGCCAAGCCGAGAGUUGGAGUUACUGCGUUAAAUACUUCUUCCCAUUGCAUAUGGAGGUACAGCUCGUAAGAGCUGAGUGGGUGGGCUAGCUUGAGCUAUCGGAAGCGCUUUCAUCUUAAGCAGCACAGCACUCCGAGACAAUUUUACAGCCUCUGCAGAGUCAUUUUAGCUCAGCAAGACCUGUGGUGGGAGGCUGCCUGAUCCCCAGACAGAGGCUUCACACCCCCGGGGCGCCGAGGCACUUCAGGGUGUCAGGCGCUCUGCUUGGUGACACAAGAGCUGUGCUCCACAGCCAUUGCUGGAACCUGAGAAG